Molecule: ribosomal RNA, 433 nt
Filed under: uncultured bacterium
Lineage: Bacteria
Description: bacterial SSU rRNA
Rfam family: Bacterial small subunit ribosomal RNA
Source: RNAcentral
UAGGGAAUAUUGGUCAAUGGAUGCAAGUCUGAACCAGCCAUGCCGCGUGCAGGAAGAAGGCCUUCUGGGUUGUAAACUGCUUUUGCCAGAGGAUAAAAUGGGCGUGCGCGCUUAAUUGAAGGUACCUGGUGAAUAAGCCACGGCUAACUACGUGCCAGCAGCCGCGGUAAUACGUAGGUGGCAAGCGUUGUCCGGAUUUAUUGGGUUUAAAGGGUGCGUAGGCGGUCCCAUAAGUCAGUGGUGAAAUACUCUAGCUUAACUAGAGGGGUGCCAUUGAUACUGCGGGACUUGAGUAGAGUUGAAGUGGGCGGAAUUGACGGUGUAGCGGUGAAAUGCUUAGAUAUCGUCAAGAACACCGAUAGUGAAGACAGCUCACUAAGCUCAAACUGACGCUGAGGCACGAAAGUGUGGGGAUCAAACAGGAUUAGAUACC